Molecule: long non-coding RNA, 3403 nt
Organism: Venturia canescens
Lineage: Eukaryota; Metazoa; Arthropoda; Insecta; Hymenoptera; Ichneumonidae
Exons: 3
Source: RefSeq, a predicted model, not a curated record
AGGCUGCGAAAUGGAUCGGAAUUUUAUUGAGGGAUAACGAUUAUUCACAAGUUUUGAGGCUAAUUCCUGAAGAUAUUCCAUUCGUUUUCUCGACGUGAGGAUUAUUGAAAAAGGCUGUUAGAGGGUAAAAAAUGCGUUAGACAAUUCACGAUAAAACCAGAGGAUUAAAUUUUCUCAUAUCUCGAUCGAUGCAUUGUAACGUGGACUGCCCUGAACCACGAGGAUCUCGUCCACUUUUGAUUAAUUUUUUUAGUAUGCUCGCUAGGAGUAAACAAGCUCAAAUCGUUCUCGUCACGUCCAAUCCUUAAUUGUGUUAUAACGCCGAGAAACCUGGAUCUCUUACGAUUUGUUUCUCGUCGCAACAAAAUCAACGGUUUACCUCUGACCACGUCAGGCGGCAAUUCUUUGGGCUGGUUCUCUCGAAUGAUCAUCUCCGGCUUUCGAGGUCGCACUAAGAAGGAUUUACAAAAUGAAACGCAUUCGAGGAGAAGAGGAUUUCCAAUCUUGAGAAAAAAGAAUUCUCGUCGAAGUCUACUUUGGGUCUUACUAUCGAAACGGAGGUAAAUGAAAAUCGGCUAAUCGGAUAUGACCUCGUUGAAAAGUGCUCGAUCGCUUACCAGGUUGAUCCGAUUCCUCGACCGGUUUCGGUUGAAACAGCUCCUUAAAGUGGGCCUUGCAGUACAGCGUGCUUUCGUGGCUCUGAUAAUUGUCGACGCUCAGCUGUUUGCUGCACUGGACGCAUCGGAAGCAAUUUUUGUGCCAAACCAGGCCCUCGGCCUUUGUUUGUUCCAUUUGGAAUACGACCUUGCCGCAGCUGCGGCAGUUCGGAUUCGCGUCGCCAUUUUGGCCCACCUAGAAUUUCAAAGCACCGUGUUCAAUUCGUUUCUUCAAAAAAACGAGCUUUCAAAAUCAUAAAAAUCAUUAUUUUCGUUCUUUCGGUACUCAAAUAGCUAAAUAAUUUAACGAUUUAACGAAAUUAGUUUAAUUUUUCAAAUGACAAAAUGAUCAAGGUUCGUCCGAGUCAACGCAGAACAGCAUCGACAAGACAAUUUUUCGUUGUGUCACCGAAAUUUGGUCCUAAUUGAAAGUGCUGAGAAUUUGGGCAAUUUGCCCUUCGAAUAGAGUUGAAUUUAUUCCCCCGAGGUGGGGUCGAGAAGUGUUUCAACGUUAUGAGACGAUCGUUCAUUCGUUUUCGUACGAAUUGUUCGGUACUCCGAAUUCCAAGUGGAACGUACGCUUAAAAGAGAACGUAUGGACUAUAGAAAUGUGUCGCGGCGGUUGACGGAAGUAGUGCAAGAGGGUAUAUAAAUAAAAAUGACUGCGUACGUUACGUCACAUGGUAAAAGAAACGAUGCUCCGCACCGGCGUGACGGCCUGAUUUGUAUAAAGAAGUCGGUUUAUCCCUGACACAUGAAAAAAGCGUAUAAAAAAUUCGUUCUUUCUUCGUUUUCCUCUGGAAUGAAAAUAUGUGAGAGUUAAUGAAAAUGACGUUUCCGAAGGAAUGUUUAAACUCAAGCAACUACCCUCAGCUACGUCUACUCAUCAUACAAAGAGACAUCGCAAAGAAAUUCAUUCCGAAUCUAGUGCAAGUGCGAAUGAUUGAGGGAAAAUAAAAAUUGUGAAGAACGAUGAGAAUAAUUGUACUCACGGAAUUCAGUUGUUGCUGGACCUUGGCCGGAUCGGAGGAGCGCACGUGGAGCACCGACUUCUUACUGAGGGCGUCAAAUUUGUUGAAGCUCGAUUUCUGUAAAUUAUAGACAAAUUUUUCUUUCACAUUUUCGUACUUACUUCGACGCUGCGCACGAGGAUUAUAAGCCGCGUCGAUCCGUUGUUCAAAUUAUUCCGCAAUGUUUGGGCGAGCACGACAAAUGGGAGUGGAAUGACAAAUGGUUUUCUAACGGACGGAUCGACUUUUCGUAAAUCGCGAAUCGAUAAACGUGACUGCUGCACUUGACAUUCAUCCAUUUCCAUGGCAAAUUGCCAACGGAGCGCAUGCGCCGCGCGAAUCAAACAGAGAUACGAAAAAAUCGCUCUUAUCGCGAACGCCGUUUGUACCGGGAACUCACCCAUUUUUCCCCUCCCAACGCCUUCGAUUUCAUAAAUUAUUUGUAAUCUUGACGUCUCUUCGGUACAAAGGCGACGUUUUCUCAUUCGAAAGAAAAAAAUAGACGCGGAGAUGCCAACUGACACGCCGAACAACGAUAUUUUCAUUACGAAUUUCCCGCUCUCCGCCUUACCUCGAACUUGAGUAGUCGAUUCGCGUGGGAACGAUCCUGAAUUUCCUCGUCAAGGCCUCUUGUUAAAUUUGCCAAACUACAGUAGGAAGCCCUCUGUCCAUUUUCGUGCCACCGAUUGUCGGUAUAUCGAGGCAAUUUUUGGCGAUAUGGUUAGGAGAAUUUUGUUUGUUUUCAAUGUUUUUGUUUUCAUGCACGGAUCCCAUGGAAUUAAACAAAAGAUAGAAAAAUGAUAUGCGUGUUAGUUAUCGAACGAGGAAAUAAAACAAUGAAAAAGCACUACGGAACUUUGGUGACGCCGCAUGCUCGCCGGAUACGAGAACUCGGUGAUUGACCACUCGCACGCGAAAAGUCUCAAUUACAAAUAAACGCGACAAUUUAAUCAAGAUUAUAUUCAAAUUCAUUGAUUGCACAAAUCGUCAAUUCGAUCAGUUCGAAUUGCGAGCAAAUCGAUUGUUCUUUCGAGAAUCUUUUCACUAUUUUUCGAGAUCGGUGCAAAAUGUUAGUUGAGCGGAGACAAAUGUUAAAAUAAUUUUCAUCUUUCACAGCGUUCUCGAGCGGCUCGAGGCGAUCGGGGACAAGGGAGACGUUUUUCAUUCUUCGAGUCCCGCAUUCACUGCGAGCUUCUCACUAUUUCGACGUUGAAUCGUUCCAAGCGCGGUGCAUUCGAAGAUCGAGUGGAAGCAAUUUGAACGAACGAAGCUCGAAAUAUGAAAUUUUUUUUAAAUAAAUAAAUAAAUAAAAUGGAAUAAAAGAAAAAAUAACGAAGAAAAUAAUAUGGAAAUUAUAAAAAUAUGAAAAUGAUGAAAAAAUUAAUUGAAAAACAGCCCCCUCGCUACGAACGCCACGCGUCGAUAUCAUGCCGCAGGACUACUUACGAGGGCUUUGACGGACACACCGACGAAUACGGUUGCUUCUUUGGCGAGCUUCGAAUAAUCCCUCUGGCAUAGUCUCAAGUCGUCCAUAGACUUUGCCUUCUACGAUUAUGCACACACACGCACGCACACCGCCAUAAGUAGCCCGAUAGUUAGAUUGUUAAAAUUAAAGUUCGAAGAGCAGAAAUUAAUCAAACUGGAUACGAUUUGUUAGGGUUUAUGAUAACGAAUAAUCGAAAAAAAAAGUUUGUAAAAGGAAAACAAAUAAAGAUAAAAUCAAUGGAGCAGCACGUA